This 1179-nucleotide long non-coding RNA is filed under the name Anas platyrhynchos platyrhynchos (common mallard). Its description in RNAcentral is "lncRNA (ENSAPLG00000027070.1)". The record is from RNAcentral. Lineage: Eukaryota; Metazoa; Chordata; Aves; Anseriformes; Anatidae.
CUGAGGCUUUCACCGGGCUGUCAAGCACCCUUUAUUUCCCUUCUCCUCUUCAGAGGAAUGACUCUAUCUUGAUGCAAAAUAUGUUUCUAUUUAAAAUAUUUAUUCCUCUUAGCUUGUUUUGAAAUAGUUGUUGUCAUGUAAUGCCGACUCUCACGGUGGGUUACGAAGGUAAAAGAAUAGUAAAUUUAGACAAGAAAUCAGGAUUUGAUUUUGAAUACAAAUGAGAGGUAAUUCAGUAAGUGGGGAAAAAAAUUAAAACAGCCUUUGUUCAUUAUAAUUUGCCAAGCACUUCAGGGAAGUGCACUGCACUGUACUCUCUGCAGUCCAGUGGGCCCCAGCUCUGUGGGUCAAAUGAUGGCUGUCCUGUGGAGGGCUUGCUGCUCUCCCUGGCUGGUUACUCAGAGCCAUGAAGUCAGUAAUAACAGAUCCAGGCAUAGAUACCAUAGUGAAAUCAGUGACCUCUGGAAAAGGUGAAGCUUGCUGAGCUCCAGUGGUAUGAAGGUUAUGCUGAAAGGAAGUGUUGGUCUUCCCAGCAGCUGCAAUUGCAUGUAGGAGUGUAGAGCCAGGUGAUAGGAAUUAAUUAUAGCCAUUCUUGUCAACACUGCAGCAGGCAGUCCCAUACCUGUCCUCUAGAUGGCUGUUUUUUCAUUGUCUUUAUCCUGCAAGUCAAAAAGUUCUCCUCUAUUGCUGCACGCAUUACAAACCUGGCCAAACUCUUUGGUGAGCCUCCCUCUCUUUUUUAACCUGCAGAUCCUCCCUCUCAGAGUGACGUGGGAACCUCAGAGACGUACAGCCCAACCACAGGUUAGGGGGCAGCAGUUACAGCUGACAGCAAGGACAGUGUCAGAUUUGCCCGUAACAGCAGUGAAUACUGAGAAAGGUGUGGGUUAUACGGGAAAGAAUUACACAACUCAGAGUCUCCAGAAGACUCACCUGUCUCUGUACAUGGUCAUCCUGAUUGCUGUGUUGUGUAGCGCUGUGGUUUUCCUCGUCAUUUUCACUAUUGUUUGCAUUAGAAAGCCCAAAGAAGCUCUAACUCAAUGAAAGCAGGGGCUUCUUCAAGGUAUGAUAGUGUGGCUCAUUAUGAGGAACCACUCUCCUCUACUGAAAACAACUAUGUGAUGGAACCCAUGAAAAAUGAAAGAAAUAAAGAAAAUGAAUAUAAGAAUGUUGGAAACA